AGUGAACGCUGGCGGUAGGCCUAACACAUGCAAGUCGAACGGCAGCACAGUAAGAGCUUGCUCUUACGGGUGGCGAGUGGCGGACGGGUGAGGAAUACAUCGGAAUCUACUUUUUCGUGGGGGAUAACGUAGGGAAACUUACGCUAAUACCGCAUACGACCUACGGGUGAAAGCAGGGGAUCUUCGGACCUUGCGCGAUUGAAUGAGCCGAUGUCGGAUUAGCUAGUUGGCGGGGUAAAGGCCCACCAAGGCGACGAUCCGUAGCUGGUCUGAGAGGAUGAUCAGCCACGCUGGAACUGAGACACGGUCCAGACUCCUACGGGAGGCAACAGUGGGGAAUAUUGGACAAUGGGCGCAAGCCUGAUCCAGCCAUACCGCGUGGGUGAAGAAGGCCUUCGGGUUGUAAAGCCCUUUUGUUGGGAAAGAAAAGCAGCAGGUUAAUACCCCGCUGUUCUGACGGUACCCAAAGAAUAAGCACCGGCUAACUUCGUG
This 492-nucleotide ribosomal RNA is filed under the name uncultured bacterium. RNAcentral's name for it is "partial 16S ribosomal RNA". It matches the Rfam family "Bacterial small subunit ribosomal RNA", at positions 29 to 507 of the family's 1533-position model. The record is from RNAcentral.